AAUUUUUCUUACUUUAUUGCCUACAUAUAUUCAAGUUACAUUUAUGAGAAAAAGAUUCACCAUAUACUUUCUGCGAUACAGAUAUAUCGGUUUUAGAAGUGAUUUUAUAAUUUUUGUGGAUACUUUUGUUCUUCCACCAGAGAGCUAUUCCAAGGUUUCUUGGGGAACUUCCCACUGCAUAAUUUCCUUCCCCUGCCAUGUUCCAUGAGAGAGAUGGAAAAGAAUCACAGUGAGACACCAGGGGGAGGAUUCAAAGGGACUCCCUCCUAAGCCAAAUUCCAACCAUAAGGGAAAUUUCCAUCUGCUGGUGCCCCACCUCCUAGCAUCUGUAUUCCCUUGAGGUUGUAAUGCUCUCCUGGCUCUGAAGGCCGACAAAGGCUUGACCUGUACGAAGUCCACAAUACCCUUAGCUCUGUCUAAGAUGUAAAGAUGCAAACGUCUUGCAAAAUCCAAAGCCCUGAAUGAACAGGGAGGAGACAAUGAAGGAGGGCACCCAGCACCAGCCUGACCUGAGUCCUACUUGAACUUGCUCUGUGCUUUAGCCCUCCCUUGGUUCAUAUAAUCAUAAAGAAGUACCGGAGUUGAAUGUUUUGUUUCGAUUCCUGUCAGAGUAUGAAAAAUGAACAGUGUUGUAACCGAGUCCAUGGUCACUGCUGUCGAUGGAUCUUUAUGGCAAAGUUUGUGCGUGCAGGUUGAUUGUCAUUCUCACUGAUGACGCAAACUGGUGGUUUAAUUGAUCCUUUUAAUAUAAAACAAUCUCAGCAUGAAUCACAAAUAGUUUUGACUGAUACUUGACUUUACUAGAAAAAUGAAAUCCGUUAACGUCUCUCUCUCUCUCUUUUUUUUUUUUAUAGGUGGUUCCAUGUUUAGACAAAUAAAAAUAUGGACGUUCUUCUUGUUUAGUGUCCCAUCGCUUCUGUAGUUUUCAUAUGGGGCUGCUGCACCACGUAUGCAUCAGUCAAAGCAAGGAGAAAGCUCUUCCAUCUUCUAUCAGGACGGUCCAGGCAGACCAAGAGCCCGCCUCAGCUAUUCCAAAUAUCACCUCUUUCCCUGAUAUUAUGGGAAGCCUGUGGACACAAGUUCAUCGGACCUUCAAAGGUGAAUUUUAUCAAUACAUUCUUGCACAGUGCACGCUGGGUUAA
This 1142-nucleotide long non-coding RNA is filed under the name Anser brachyrhynchus (Pink-footed goose). RNAcentral describes it as "lncRNA (ENSABRG00000012108.1)". Lineage: Eukaryota; Metazoa; Chordata; Aves; Anseriformes; Anatidae. The record is from RNAcentral.